GUAGGUGGCAAGCGUUGUCCGGGAAUUAUUGGGGCGUAAAGCGCGCGCAGGCGGUUCUUUAAGUCUGAUGUGAAAGCCCACGGGCUCAACCGUGGAGGGUCAUUGGAAACUGGAGAACCUGAGUACAGAAGAGGAAAGCGGAAUUCCACGUGUAGCGGUGAAAUGCGUAGAGAUGUGGAGGAACACCAGUGGCGAAGGCGGCUUUCUGGUCUGUAACUGACGCUGAGGCGCGAAAGCGUGGGGAGCAAACAGGAUUAGAUACCCUGGUAGUCCACGCCGUAAACGAUGAGUGCUAAGUGUUAGGGGGUUUCCGCCCCUUAGUGCUGCAGCUAACGCAUUAAGCACUCCGCCUGGGGAGUACGGCCGCAAAGGCUG
Molecule: ribosomal RNA, 375 nt
Filed under: uncultured organism
Description: partial 16S ribosomal RNA
Rfam family: Bacterial small subunit ribosomal RNA
Source: RNAcentral